Molecule: ribosomal RNA, 377 nt
Filed under: uncultured eukaryote
Lineage: Eukaryota
Description: partial 18S ribosomal RNA
Rfam family: Eukaryotic small subunit ribosomal RNA
Source: RNAcentral
CAAUAGCGUAUAUUUAAGUUGCUGCAGUUAAAAAGCUCGUAGUUGGAUUUCGGGUGGGAAUGGCCGGUCCGCCGUUUCGGUGUGCACUUGCUACGCCCACCUUGCUGCCGGGGACGUGCUCUUGAGUUCACGCUCGGGACACGGAGUCGGCGAGGUUACUUUGAGUAAAUUAGAGUGUUCAAAGCAGGCCUACGCUCUGAAUACAUUAGCAUGGAAUAACACGAUAGGACUCUGGCCUAUCUUGUUGGUCUGUAGGACCAGAGUAAUGAUUAAGAGGGACAGUCGGGGGCAUUCGUAUUUCAUUGUCAGAGGUGAAAUUCUUGGAUUUAUGAAAGACGAACUACUGCGAAAGCAUUUGCCAAGGAUGUUUUCAUUAA